CCCCCCCCCGGAGCUUGAGGGCGCCAGGUUGCCCUGCAUCACGCACUCCUAUCAUCCAUUACACACACCUCCCUUCCUUCGUCACGCGCAUCAGCGAUAUUGGACUCACCUGGACUCACUCAUCACCUGUUAUUACCUCCCCUAUAUUUCGUCAACUCGUGACAGAAUGCAGCAGCCUUCACACGAAGCAUCGGGGAGUACUGGCGUUCCGGUUGGUAUGGAGGCAUCGGCUCUGGGUCGCCACCGAUGGAACCGGGGGUGCCUAGCCAGCUCAUCGGGCUCCCACGUCCUAGCUGGCUCGAGAGGUUUCCUUUCCCUGGUUGGCUCAGAUGGCACCCAUCCCACGUUGGGCCUCAGCCAGAUCAUCAGUUCUUGUUCGCCCAGCCGGUCCAGGAGUUUUUUUGUUUGUUUGUUUUUUGUUUAGUUGGUGAUGUUGGGGUGGAUUCCACCACCGAUGGAAGCAGGGGUGUCUAAGCCAGCACAUCAGGCUUUCACGCCCUGGCUGGCUCGAGAGGUUUCCUUGCCUCGGGUUGGUUCGGCGGCUUCCCAUCCCAUGUCACACUCCACCGGAUCUUCGGGCUCCCUCUCUGCAGUGGGAUCGACAGGCGUCUUGCCUCAGCCGGAUCACCGGGCUUCCAUGCCUCAGCCGGUGUGUCAGGCUCUCACGCUCCUGCCGUUUCAUUGGGCUUCCAUGCCCCAACUGGCUUGCCCAGCGCCCAUGUCUCGGCCGUUUUGCCCAGGUGGGAUGCCGGUACUGUCACAUCUGCUCCCGCCCCCCCCCCGGAGCUUGAGGGCGCCUGGCUGCCCUGCAUCACGCACUCCUAUCAUCCAUUACACACCCCUCCCUUCCUUCGUCACGCGCAUCAGCGAUAUUGGACUCACCAAGACUCACUCAUCACCUGUUAUUACCUCCCCUAUAUUUGUCAGUUCCCCAGCUCUGUUCCCCGCUUCUGCAUUGAUUGUUGUUUGUCUUUGUUUUCUUGUAUGCUGACGCUGUUCCUGUCUCAUUCCAUGUCCGUUCCUUAUUAAAUGUUUGACUCCCUGUACUUGCUUCGUCUCUCCAACGUCAACUCAUGUGACAAGUGGAACACUGGUGUCACAUGUGGAAAAGUAGUAAUAGACAUUGCAGGUUUGC
RNAcentral lists this long non-coding RNA (1135 nucleotides) under Salmo salar (Atlantic salmon). Its description in RNAcentral is "lncRNA (ENSSSAG00000116336.1)". Lineage: Eukaryota; Metazoa; Chordata; Actinopteri; Salmoniformes; Salmonidae. The record is from RNAcentral.